CCUACGGGGGGCAGCAGUGGGGAAUCUUGCACAAUGGGCGAAAGCCUGAUGCAGCAACGCCGCGUGCGGGAAGAAGGCCCUCGGGUUGUAAACCGCUUUCAGUAGGGAAGAAAAUGACGGUACCUACAGAAGAAGGUGCGGCCAACUACGUGCCAGCAGCCGCGGUGACACGUAGGCACCAAGCGUUAUCCGGAUUUAUUGGGCGUAAAGAGCUCGUAGGCGGUUUGGUAAGUCGGGUGUGAAAACUUAGGGCUCAACCCUGAGAGGCCACUCGAUACUGCUAUGACUAGAGUACGGUAGGGGAGCGGGGAAUUCAUGGUGUAGCGGUGAAAUGCGCAGAUAUCAUGAGGAACACCAGCGGCGAAGGCGCCGCUCUGGGCCGUAACUGACGCUGAGGAGCGAAAGCGUGGGUAGCAAACAGGCUUAGAUACCCCUGUAGUC
This 441-nucleotide ribosomal RNA is filed under the name uncultured Ilumatobacter sp. RNAcentral's name for it is "bacterial SSU rRNA". It matches the Rfam family "Bacterial small subunit ribosomal RNA", at positions 338 to 795 of the family's 1533-position model. The record is from RNAcentral. Lineage: Bacteria; Bacillati; Actinomycetota; Acidimicrobiia; Acidimicrobiales; Ilumatobacteraceae.